This 408-nucleotide ribosomal RNA is filed under the name uncultured bacterium. Its description in RNAcentral is "partial 16S ribosomal RNA". It matches the Rfam family "Bacterial small subunit ribosomal RNA", at positions 28 to 526 of the family's 1533-position model. The record is from RNAcentral.
GACGAACGCUGGCGGCGUGCUUAACACAUGCAAGUCGAACGGAGUGGCGAACGGGUGAGUAACACGUGGGUGACCUGCCCUGCACUUCGGGAUAAGCCUGGGAAACUGGGUCUAAUACCGGAUAGUGUGGGACCGGCCCGCGGCCUAUCAGCUUGUUCGUGAGGUAAUGGCCUACCAAGGCGGCGACGGGUAGCCGGCCUGAGAGGGCGGACGGCCGCAUUGGGACUGAGGCACGGCCCAGACUCCUACGUGAGGCAGCUGUGGGGAAUAUUGCACAAUGGGCGGAAGCCUGCUGCAGCGACGCUGCGUGGGGGAUGACGGCCUUCGGGUUGUAAACUCCUUUCACCAUGGACGCGGUAGAUGGAGAAGAAGCACCGGCUAACUACGUGCCAGCAGCCGCGGUAAUUC